CAGGGAUUGCCCUAGUAACGGCGAGUGAAGCGGCAACAGCUCAAAUUUGAAAUCUGGCCCUCGGGUCCGAGUUGUAAUUUGUAGAGGAUGCUUUUGGUGCGGUGCCUUCCGAGUUCCCUGGAACGGGACGCCAUAGAGGGUGAGAGCCCCGUCUGGUUGGACGCCAAUCCUCUGUAAAGCUCCUUCGACGAGUCGAGUAGUUUGGGAAUGCUGCUCUAAAUGGGAGGUAUAUGUCUUCUAAAGCUAAAUACCGGCCAGAGACCGAUAGCGCACAAGUAGAGUGAUCGAAAGAUGAAAAGCACUUUGAAAAGAGAGUUAAAAAGUACGUGAAAUUGUUGAAAGGGAAGCGCUUAUGACCAGACUUGGGCUUGGUAGAUCAACCUGGGUUCUCCCUGGUGCACUCUUCCUCGUCCAGGCCAGCAUCAGUUCGCUGCGGGGGAUAAAGGCUUCGGGAAUGUGGCUCCCUCGGGAGUGUUAUAGCCCGUUGCGUAAUACCCUGCGGUGGACUGAGGUUCGCGUUCUGCAAGGAUGCUGGCGUAAUGGUCAUCAGCGACCCGUCUUGAAACACGGACCAAGGAGUCGUCUUCGUAUGCGAGUGUUCGGGUGUUAAACCCCUACGCGUAAUGAAAGUGAACGCAGGUGAGAGCUUCGGCGCAUCAUCGACCGAUCCUGAUGUUCUCGGAUGGAUUUGAGUAAGAGCAUACGGGGCCGGACCCGAAAGAAGGUGAACUAUGCCUGUAUAGGGUGAAGCCAGAGGAAACUCUGGUGGAGGCUCGCAGCGGUUCUGACGUGCAAAUCGAUCGUCAAAUAUGGGCAUGGGGGCGAAAGACUAAUCGA
RNAcentral lists this ribosomal RNA (837 nucleotides) under Mariannaea submersa. RNAcentral's name for it is "Mariannaea sp. HY-2020a partial large subunit ribosomal RNA". It matches the Rfam family "Eukaryotic large subunit ribosomal RNA", at positions 69 to 938 of the family's 3401-position model. The record is from RNAcentral. Lineage: Eukaryota; Fungi; Ascomycota; Sordariomycetes; Hypocreales; Nectriaceae.